UAGCGAUUUGACAAAUUAGCAAUAACGAAACGAUGAGUCAAAUAGUGGUUUCCAAGUGUGUUCAGCUUAACGUCUUAGCAAUUGUGUAAGGUCUUUGAGGUUAGACAGACAACGGAAGAUAAAACAGAAUGUUAUAAUUACAAUCUUAGGAAAACUAAAACUUCUCGAAAAGUAUUACGUUUCUCUUAGAUUUUAUUUGUAGGAGGAAAAUAGAAAACAGAAAAAUCAUAGCUGUGUAAAGCGAAACCAACUUUGUGAGUUUUAUAUUUGCUUUUUUCUUUUUUGCUUGAGAGAGAAGUUAAGAAGUAAUGGCUACACCGUUCCAUUUGCUGCAGACUUUGCAAGCACAGUCACUCGGGUGAAAACAAGAAUAAUAGAUUGCUUUGACAGAAACUUGAACAUAAACGUCUCCAAGAAUCAAAUGUGGAGUGGUAUUGUUCCAUAGGCCUUCCCACACUUCGCCAAACUGACCAGAUCCUAAUCGCUUCAGAAGUUGUAUGGAGCUGCGGUCGAUCUCCCACUGGUCCACAGUUUUAUAUGACAAGCCAAUUGGAGCUGGGACUUGUAUCUGUUUCACAGAAUAAUUAGAAUACCAGUAAGAAAAAAGUUAGAUUUUUUUUUUGGCUGAAAACAAUAGUCUUGGUCCUUUUAAAAAGAGGCAUCAUUUUUAAAAACAAAAUACUGUAUGUUUUAUUCUAAUUAAAAUGGAAAACAACUGUGGUAGAAUCUGUAUCGUUACCUCUUCAAGCUGCUCUUCUAAAUCCUUCUAAGUCAGGCACCUUGCUGUCCAUCUUUCCUACCCCACAUCCAAUCAAUACCUCCCUCAAAUGGCUAUGGAGUGCUCUCUGCCUUCUUGCCUAGCUAAAUCAAGUUUCAAGGUCAAAUUGAAGUUCUAUCUCAUCCACAGUUAUGGCCAUACAGUCUUUGUUGAAACUACUAAACUCUACGGUUAUAGCGGAAAAAGAAGACAGUUUGUAAAUGAACGGGCAUUUCUAUGUUUCAAUAAAAUUUAUUUACAAAAAUAAGUGUGGGGCAGUCUUGGCUCAUGGGCCAUAUAGUUUGCUUAUCCAUUCUUUUGGUAUUCAGAUGACCUUUUUUUCCUGAACUGACAUAUCACAUGACAAUUCAAUAUCUGAAGGAAAAAAGUUAACUUCAAAAAUAAGGGAAAACACCUUGAAAGCAUGUCACCUUUAAGCAUGGUUUUUCCAGCUUGACACACAGGCCAUCACUUGUCUUGGUGUAGUGACUCACAAAUUCAUUCAGUGUUGAAAAGGUUCUUCUCUGGGUGAGGAAAAAGCCCCCUUCAUCCAGUGUUCUGAUUCUGUAGUGUUUCACAACCCCAUCAUGUAAAACUGGAACCCAAAAUAAGUCCUGUUAAUAAACUUCUUGCCAAAGUGAA
Molecule: long non-coding RNA, 1399 nt
Organism: Camelus dromedarius (Arabian camel)
Lineage: Eukaryota; Metazoa; Chordata; Mammalia; Artiodactyla; Camelidae
Exons: 3
Source: RefSeq, a predicted model, not a curated record